AAGAAGUAAACUAACCAGUGUGUCACCAGAUAUAAACGGCUGUCCCUUCAACUCAGUGUUCCGUAGCACAGUGAUUCUGUUUCCUUUGUUCCAGUGCCCGCCACCAAAGUCCUGUCUGUGUGACAAGGGGGAAAGGGGGCACCCUGGCAGCCCGGGCAAGGCGGGCGAGCGGGGGUCCGACGGAGCCCCGGGUCCCCAAGGGCCGCACGGGGAGUCCGGCAUCAAUGGGCGCCCAGGAAUGGACGGCAUUCAGGUGAGGAGAUCUAAAACUUCCACCAGCGCUGUUGAUACACGGAGCAACCGCCCGUCA
This 310-nucleotide long non-coding RNA is filed under the name Gadus morhua (Atlantic cod). Its description in RNAcentral is "lncRNA (ENSGMOG00000031347.1)". Lineage: Eukaryota; Metazoa; Chordata; Actinopteri; Gadiformes; Gadidae. The record is from RNAcentral.